Molecule: ribosomal RNA, 466 nt
Filed under: uncultured bacterium
Lineage: Bacteria
Description: partial 16S ribosomal RNA
Rfam family: Bacterial small subunit ribosomal RNA
Source: RNAcentral
GAUGAACGCUGGCGGCGUGCUUAACACAUGCAAGUCGAACGAUGAAGCCCAGCUUGCUGGGUGGAUUAGUGGCGAACGGGUGAGUAACACGUGAGUAACCUGCCCUUAACUCUGGGAUAAGCCUGGGAAACUGGGUCUAAUACCGGAUAGGAGCGUCCACCGCAUGGUGGGUGCUGGAAAGAUUUAUCGGUUUUGGAUGGACUCGCGGCCUAUCAGCUUGUUGGUGAGGUAAUGGCUCACCAAGGCGACGACGGGUAGCCGGCCUGAGAGGGUGACCGGCCACACUGGGACUGAGACACGGCCCAGACUCCUACGGGAGGCAGCAGUGGGGAAUAUUGCACAAUGGGCGCAAGCCUGAUGCAGCGACGCCGCGUGAGGGAUGACGGCCUUCGGGUUGUAAACCUCCUUCAGUAGGGAAGAAGCGAAAGUGACGGUACCUGCAGAAGAAGCACCGGCUAACUACGUG